RNAcentral lists this transfer RNA (77 nucleotides) under Desulfuromonas sp. RNAcentral describes it as "tRNA-Arg". It matches the Rfam family "tRNA". From Rfam's summary of the family: Transfer RNA (tRNA) molecules are approximately 80 nucleotides in length. Their secondary structure includes four short double-helical elements and three loops (D, anti-codon, and T loops). RNAcentral also lists the same sequence under 18 other names. Lineage: Bacteria; Pseudomonadati; Thermodesulfobacteriota; Desulfuromonadia; Desulfuromonadales; Desulfuromonadaceae. The record is from RNAcentral.
GCGCCACUAGCUCAGCUGGAUAGAGCGUCUGACUACGGAUCAGAAGGCCGGGAGUUCGAAUCUCUCGUGGCGCGCCA